AUGAGAGGCCUUAACAGGAUGGACGGAGCUGCUGAAUUGGAGGAAUUCCUAUGCUUAUGGACGAAGGUGCAGGCAGUUAAACAGGACAUCCUCGACAACAUGAAUGAGGACUUGAUUGAAUGGACUCUCACCACAAACAAUGUUUACUCAGCCAAAUCGGCUUAUGACAUCCAGUUCAAGACAAGAAUCCCAAGCCCGGCCCUGGCUAAUGUUUGGAAGAUCAAGGCUGAAGGCAAAGUAAAAAUUUUCAUGUGGACGCUCUUGCAGAAUCGGCUAUGGACUGCUGACCGGCUCCUUCGUAGAAACUGGGAUCAUCAUGAUAGCUGCUGCAACUGUGACCAGGUUAUUGAAUCAGCUAUACACCUCAUUCUCAGAUGUCCCUACGCAAAAGAAGUCUGGCACUCCUUCAGCUCCACCAACCAGCUUGUCGCUAGAUAUGCUCGUGAGGCCAGCUCCAUUGUGGGAUGGUGGGAGAAAGUGUUCUCCCAUCAUCGGAAGAAGGUAGAAGCUUUCCAAAUUUGCACCACUUCGGUUUACAUUGCCUGGAAUAUUUGGAACGAGAGAAAUCGUCGUCUCUUUCAACAUGAGAGCCUGCCUGUUCAACGGCUUUGUAACAUUAUUUCUGAUGAAAUCUGCCUCCUUAAGGAGGCAUGGGAGUAG
Molecule: ribosomal RNA, 660 nt
Filed under: Triticum aestivum (bread wheat)
Lineage: Eukaryota; Viridiplantae; Streptophyta; Magnoliopsida; Poales; Poaceae
Description: partial small subunit ribosomal RNA
Source: RNAcentral